CAGCAGCCAUGGUAAUACGGAGGGAGCUAGCGUUGUUCGGAAUUACUGGGCGUAAAGUGCGCGUAGGCGGUUACUCAAGUCAGAGGUGAAAGCCCGGGGCUCAACCCCGGAACUGCCUUUGAAACUAGGUAACUAGAAUCUUGGAGAGGUCAGUGGAAUUCCGUGUGUAGAGGUGAAAUUCGUAGAUAUUCGGAAGAACACCAGUGGCGAAGGCGACUGACUGGACAAGUAUUGACGCUGAGGUGCGAAAGCGUGGGGAGCAAACAGGAUUAGAUACCCCAGUAGUCCCUGUCUCUUAUAC
This 301-nucleotide ribosomal RNA is filed under the name uncultured bacterium. Its description in RNAcentral is "partial 16S ribosomal RNA". It matches the Rfam family "Bacterial small subunit ribosomal RNA", at positions 509 to 807 of the family's 1533-position model. The record is from RNAcentral.